Molecule: ribosomal RNA, 406 nt
Filed under: uncultured bacterium
Lineage: Bacteria
Description: bacterial SSU rRNA
Rfam family: Bacterial small subunit ribosomal RNA
Source: RNAcentral
AUUGAACGCUGGCGGCAUGCCUUACACAUGCAAGUCGAACGGUAACGGGCCUUCGGGUGCCGACGAGUGGCGAACGGGUGAGUAAUGCAUCGGAACGUACCUUUCAGUGGGGGAUAACGUAGCGAAAGUUACGCUAAUACCGCAUAUUCUGUGAGCAGGAAAGCAGGGGAUCGCAAGACCUUGCGCUGAUUGAGCGGCCGAUGUCAGAUUAGCUAGUUGGUGAGGUAAAGGCUCACCAAGGCGACGAUCUGUAGCGGGUCUGAGAGGAUGAUCCGCCACACUGGAACUGAGACACGGCCCAGACUCCUACGGGAGGCAGCAGUGGGGAAUUUUGGACAAUGGGCGAAAGCCUGAUCCAGCCAUGCCGCGUGCGGGAAGAAGGCCUUCGGUGUAACGCUUAGUCCGG